RNAcentral lists this transfer RNA (72 nucleotides) under Actinomycetota bacterium. RNAcentral describes it as "Actinobacteria bacterium tRNA-Thr". It matches the Rfam family "tRNA". From Rfam's summary of the family: Transfer RNA (tRNA) molecules are approximately 80 nucleotides in length. Their secondary structure includes four short double-helical elements and three loops (D, anti-codon, and T loops). The record is from RNAcentral. Lineage: Bacteria; Bacillati; Actinomycetota.
GCCAUAGUCGUUCAACGGUAGGACACCCUCCUCGUCAACAGGGAGAAAGGGGUUCGACUCCCCUCUGUGGCU